CUGACACAUGGUGUGAAGUGCCAUCAUAUCCCUCUGAAUGAAAGCCUAAUCAAAACGGAGAUUAAUUAUGCAUGAAUGCGGAAUGGGCAGAGUGUUAUUGGUGCAGGAAAUAACUGGGAGAGAGCAAAACGAUUAAAUAAAUGUGCUCUAUACAUUUAGGGAACAGUUUUCCAGUUCCUCUCAUUGUGAAUGAGAAGUCAGAGGGAUUUGAGCGACGCCCCAGACAGGAAGUCUCGGUCUGCAGCGGUUGACAUCGGGGCGGUUUUCCGAGGGACGUUCCCGUUCCUUGGACCCGGUCUCCCUCCCUCUCCCAUCCUCAAAUCCUGCUGCCUUUUACGCAUCCUCGCGGCGGCACCGCCCACUCUCUCCGGAGGCCAAUUACAGCACUGGUCAGAUUAUUGGUAUCUCCCAUGGACAUCUAUAAAGUGGACUAGGAAGCACAGUAAUAGCUGGGUCGAUUUGUGGAAAUUGAUUCUCCCAGUUUGUCUUCCCUGCUUCUGGCAGCUGGAUGUCCUGUUACUACUGUCUAAUGUAUGUGAGGUUUUUACUACUGUCUACUGUAUGUGAGGUUGUUAUUACUGCCUAAUGUAUGUGAGGUUGUUACUACUGUCUACUGUAUGUGAGGUUGUUAUUACUACCUAAUGUAUGUGAGGUUGUUACUACUGUCUACUGUAUGUGAGGUUGUUAUUACUGCCUAAUGUAUGUGAGGUUGUUACUACUGUCUACUGUAUGUGAGGUUGUUAUUACUGCCUAAUGUAUGUGAGGUUGUUACUACUGUCUACUGUAUGUGAGGUUGAUAUUACUGCCUAAUGUAUGUGAGGUUGUUACUACUGUCUAGUGUAUGUGAGGUUGUUAUUACUGCCUAAUGUAUGUGAGGUUGUUACUACUGUCUACUGUAUGUGAGGUUGUUAUUACUGCCUAAUGUAUGUGAGGUUGUUACUACUGUCUACUGUAUGUGAGGUUGUUCUUACUGCCUAAUGUAUGUGAGGUUGUUACUACUGUCUACUGUAUGUGAGGUUGUUAUUACUGCCUAAUGUAUGUGAGGUUGUUACUACUGUCUACUGUAUGUGAGGUUGUUACUACUGUCUACUGUAUGUGAGGUUGGAGUUCAAUGUGCAUAAAGAGACCAAUGUCGUG
This is a long non-coding RNA of Conger conger (European conger), 1137 nucleotides long. RefSeq lists it as uncharacterized. The record is from RefSeq and is a predicted model, not a curated record. NCBI's taxonomy places the organism in Eukaryota, Metazoa, Chordata, Actinopteri, Anguilliformes, Congridae. The transcript is spliced from 3 exons.